GUGAAGGCCUGCGUCUGUGCGUGACUCUCUCACUCAGCAUUAAGCCAUCUCGAGUGGGCCACACAGAUGAUGUAGUCUGUCCUGCCACAGUCUUUGAAGUCAGACUCAACUGGGAGAAAUCUUCCGCAGUGAGCUUAAGAAUGGCACUCAGCUGACCCCAUGAAGGAGA
RNAcentral lists this long non-coding RNA (169 nucleotides) under Mustela putorius furo (domestic ferret). RNAcentral describes it as "lncRNA (ENSMPUG00000028277.1)". Lineage: Eukaryota; Metazoa; Chordata; Mammalia; Carnivora; Mustelidae. The record is from RNAcentral.